GCAGGUGUGCGCGCUCAGCAGGUGUGCGCGCUCAGGCGUGUCCGCACGGCGCUGGGGAGAGGAGAGAUCUUGCUUUGAAUUCUCCUUUCUCCUGGGUAUAUACUCAUAAGUGAACUGCUGGAUCACAUGCUCGUGAUCCACAGUGAAUCACUUUUCGCUUUGGCUGCCAGGAGUCCAGAGUCAAGCGCGAGCCUCCCUGCCUCCCUCACACUGCGCUCGGCCCCCUGAGGCUCCCUGGUCGCCAAGACCACAGGUGGGUGAUUCAGGAGACAGAGGCCGUGAUGGGAGGGCUGCUGGCCGCAGAGGCUGCCUGUGCCCCCCAUCCCUGUACCACAGACCCAGGGCCUCCCCCGUGGCUGCAUUUCCUCCACGGGCAAUCCGGUCUCCUUUCUCGGCCAGCCGGUCUCCUGCGACAACACGCCUUCUGCUUUGGCCUCCCGGGGCCUGCGUGCGGCCACCGCAGCCCUCCAGGCUCUGUGACAGGACCUCUCGGCUUCACCUUCCACCCACUGGCUUGCCUCCUAGGAUUUCCAGGUUCAGCUGCAGGGCAAGAAGCUGGCCAGCCUACACCUCUUUUCUCACUAGGCCCCUGGCUGGUCUUUGGACGAGUAUGCAUUCUCAGUUUAAUGAAUUAAUGCUAAAAUAAAACAAGGUCAUGAGAUAAAACAUGACUUCCUGCAUCUUCUCACCAGGGGCUGCAGAAGGCAGUUCUUACACCAAAGAGGAGGCUGAACAUAGGCAGACGCUGCGUAUGAUGUAUCUGGCCCAUCGUUACGUGGCCAUGACCUGUAACACACACAAACAUUCUUAUGUGCCUUAUAGCUAUGUCCACAUUUUACUGCACACACACACAAAUAGGUUCCCUGGCCUUGAUUCUAAUUAUUAUUUUCACUUUUAUUUUAUAUAUUAUAUAUUUUAUAUUAUUACAUAUCCUUGCAAACUUCCACAGAAACUUACUGAAAUCAGACAGAACAUAAUAAACAGAAAAUCCACAGUCACAGGCAAAACAAAGUUAACUGCACAUUUUACCGGCAUUAACCCUACUUUGGAGGCCAUUUUU
This is a non-coding RNA of Manis javanica (Malayan pangolin), 1060 nucleotides long. The record is from RefSeq and is a predicted model, not a curated record. NCBI's taxonomy places the organism in Eukaryota, Metazoa, Chordata, Mammalia, Pholidota, Manidae.